RNAcentral lists this ribosomal RNA (708 nucleotides) under Solicoccozyma aeria. RNAcentral describes it as "eukaryotic LSU rRNA". The stretch from base 96 to 708 matches the Rfam family "Eukaryotic large subunit ribosomal RNA", at positions 1 to 623 of the family's 3401-position model. Lineage: Eukaryota; Fungi; Basidiomycota; Tremellomycetes; Filobasidiales; Piskurozymaceae. The record is from RNAcentral.
UUCGCUAAGGACAUUCUUCGGAGUGGCCUCGUUUCUAGGACGCUUGUCCGCUUUCCAAUACAAGUUCCACCUCGUGGACAUGACUUUUUAUUAUCUGGCCUCAAAUCAGGUAGGACUACCCGCUGAACUUAAGCAUAUCAAUAAGCGGAGGAAAAGAAACUAACAAGGAUUCCCCUAGUAACGGCGAGUGAAGCGGGAAAAGCUCAAAUUUGAAAUCUGGCAGCCUCAGGUUGUCCGAGUUGUAAUCUAUAGAAACGUUUUCCGCGCCGGCCCAUGUACAAGUCCCUUGGAACAGGGCGUCAUAGAGGGUGAGAAUCCCGUCCUUGACACGGACCACCGGUGCUUUGUGAUACGUUUUCAACGAGUCGAGUUGUUUGGGAAUGCAGCUCAAAAUGGGUGGUAAAUUCCAUCUAAAGCUAAAUAUUGGCGAGAGACCGAUAGCGAACAAGUACCGUGAGGGAAAGAUGAAAAGCACUUUGGAAAGAGAGUUAAACAGUAUGUGAAAUUGUUGAAAGGGAAACGAUUGAAGUCAGUCGUGUCUAUUGGACUCAGCCGGUUCUGCCGGUGUACUUCCUUUAGAUGGGGUCAACAUCAGUUUUGAUCGCUGGAAAAGGGCGGGAGGAAUGUAGCACUCUCGGGUGAACUUAUAGCCUUCCGUCGUAUACAGUGGUUGGGACUGAGGAACGCAGCAUGCCUUUAUGGCCGGGG